This 242-nucleotide long non-coding RNA is filed under the name Rosa chinensis. RNAcentral describes it as "sRNA RchiOBHm_Chr3g0461211". The record is from RNAcentral. Lineage: Eukaryota; Viridiplantae; Streptophyta; Magnoliopsida; Rosales; Rosaceae.
CCGGGCGGAGACGGGUGUCCCGACGUCAACUCGGAACCCGCUAUUUACUUCCAGACCCGGCCCCUUUUCCGCCGCGAUCCUGCAGGCCGUCAGACCGACACAUGCAAAAACCCCGAAGAUGUCACAGUACGGCGGAAUGACCGAUCCCUUUGUCCACAUGGACACCUUCAAGAAGGUCACCAACAACAAGGGCUUCGACGACGCCACCUUGUGCCAUUUAUUCAGCGAAACAUUGGACGGCG